RNAcentral lists this ribosomal RNA (253 nucleotides) under uncultured bacterium. RNAcentral's name for it is "partial 16S ribosomal RNA". It matches the Rfam family "Bacterial small subunit ribosomal RNA", at positions 524 to 776 of the family's 1533-position model. The record is from RNAcentral.
UACGUAGGGGGCAAGCGUUGUCCGGAAUUAUUGGGCGUAAAGAGCGCGUAGGCGGCCCGGUAAGUCCGCUGUGAAAGUCAAAGGCUCAACCUUUGAAUGUCAGCGGAUACUGCCGGGCUAGAGUCCGGAAGAGGCGAGUGGAACUCCUGGUGUAGCGGUGGAAUGCGCAGAUAUCAGGAAGAACACCAACGGCGAAGGCAGCUUACUAGACUGUAACUGACGCUGAGGCACGAAAGUGUGGGGAUCAAACAGG